AACCGGUUCUCGUACAGAAGUUAAGCAACAUCAAGCCUGGUCUGUACCUAGAUGGGUGACCGCUUGGGAAUACCAGGUGCUGUAAG
Non-coding RNA from Acanthosepion pharaonis, 86 nucleotides. NCBI's taxonomy places the organism in Eukaryota, Metazoa, Mollusca, Cephalopoda, Sepiida, Sepiidae. The record is from the annotation of a GenBank genome assembly.